Photinus pyralis (common eastern firefly) is the source of this 2729-nucleotide RNA transcript. It is a transcript of the gene named phosphatidylinositol-glycan biosynthesis class X protein-like, with no coding region annotated. The transcript has 7 exons. NCBI's taxonomy places the organism in Eukaryota, Metazoa, Arthropoda, Insecta, Coleoptera, Lampyridae. The record is from RefSeq and is a predicted model, not a curated record.
AUCCAUGUUCUCGUAUUUUUUUAUGGUUAUUAAUAUAGGGUUUUUUCAAAAAUUUUGUUAAAUCUGUCAUUUUCCUUCUAUCUGUUGAACUUAUUGAGGAACCAAUCAACAAUAAUAGAAACAAACUAAAUGUCGAAAUAUAAAAGGAUCCUAGAAAAUUCAAUAGGAUUCCGAGAAUGGUUCCGUAGGUUCGUAUAUGAUUUUAAAGGUUCCAUUACAUUCUAAGAGGAUUCGGACAAGUUUAAAAUCAUCCCAAUUCCAAAAUUCACAAAUCACAACCCACCUAAGAUAUAAGAUACCGAAUACAAUAAACAUUCUUCUUCGCAAUAUUAGAUGCCCUAUUUUAGAGUUUUUAUAAGAGCUUUUAUUAAUCUUCUUAAAACAUUUAAGAACGGCAAAAGUCAACUCUAAGAGUUAUCCAGAAGUUCUUGAUGUUAUCUUUUCUCUUUAUUAAAGGCGAUUAUUUAAAGACCUUUACGAAUAAUUGAGCUCUUUAAAAGUUUUUUUGUGGAUCUUUAAGAGUUUCCAAAAUUGCUUAAUCGUCUUCAAGAGCCUUUUAGAAUUAAUAGAGUGUUUUAAAAUUUAACUAACAGCCCUUUAAGGAACUUUUUUAUGAGCAGAGCGUUAUACAUACGAGGAUAUUAGUCUUUCAAAGAGCAGAACCUUUAAGAGAUUUUAUGAGCUUUGAUUAUCUGUCGGCAAUUAAGGAUUAAGUAUCAAUAGUUUUAAAGGCUCUCGAAGGACUCCCAAGAGCAUUCUAGACAUUAAAAGUUUUGAACCAUAUUUCAGAGAAUCAGAGCUUUUUUCUAAAAGUCCUUAGAAUCCCUAAUAACUUUCCUUUAGAAUCUUUGUAGUCGAGUCGUCUUACAUUGGCAAUUUUCAAUUUGUUUAAAAUGUAAUGUUAAAUAAUGGUAAUGUGAUAUUAUGGUAAAAGUGUGGGCCUCCUUUAGUAUCGGUGUGUAAACCCAGCUUUAGAUUACUCCCAGUAAAACUGGCACCAUCGCUUCAGCGUUUAUAGGUUAUGUGUUUAAAUUCAAAAAAACAUGAAAAAUUAACAUGCAAGCGCCAAUUUUAGCUACAAUUUUAUUAAUAUACGGCGUAAACGCAAAUUACAACGAAGACUGCCUUAAUCUGCAAGUCUCAAUCUCGCAAAAAGUUGAAAAUGAAGGUUUUCACAGAGAGAUAAACUGGUUGAUCGAGUCGCUCGACUUGAAUCACGACGAGUGGAGCCGUUCCUAUUGCGAGAUCGCAUUACGUCUCAACAUACCUUCGGAAAUGUUCGUUAACCCGGACGAGAUUGGCGAACUCAACCGUACGGGACAGAUUUCAGCGUAUAUCGAGGGGUAUGUUAACGUCGAGACUCCGGCUCACGAGUCGAACGAGCAUCAGCUGUAUGUGUUCUUGAGGGGACACGAUAUAAGGAAGAUGUCUGUACGGGUACCGAUACAUUUGAGAUAUCAAAGGGCGGUCAUCGCCGGAGGUUCUGUCUCCCAGAUAGCUUCCGAGAUCAUCCGCCCUUUCAACCAGUUUCGUAGGCAACCAACCAUGGUCUUCAUAUGCCUCUCAGACCGUCCAGUUUUUAAUAACAGAAGGAGGAAUUUUGCAAAGAAUCUUAGGAGUACUGGACAUAUAUUUAAGAAAUUGUAGAGGGGAGAAAAUGCUUCAGAAGUUUUUCAGAAAUGGAAAUACUAAGGAAGGAAAUGUUUGACACAUUUCAAGAUUUUCAAAACGUGCAGCGCGUUCAACCUGGGACACACGGUAUAUGAUAAGACAGUGGAUAUCCCCUCACCGUAGAAACAAGGCUUUCCCUAUUAAUAGCGAAGAAGAUCUCUAGGGCAACCGCUGCUAAUAGCGUAGACCUGAACACGUACCGCUGCUUCAUGGUGUAGAAACUCUAUCGCUCCUAUGCGUGGACGUAUCACAGCGAUCUGUUGCACCUUCGCCUACGACCCCGAAGAGGGAGAAGAAACACCAGAUGAACGCGCUAAGGAAUUUUCUUAGACACCACCACAGCCAGUAUCAUCUUUGCCAGCGACUCGAAAGCGUCUUCACUGGAAGCUGGUGGGUACCGCACGUAGAUGAUUUUGCUCAAAACUUACACGGGAAGAAAGUAUUCUCCACAAUAGACCUCGUCAGAGCAUACCACCACAUCCCAGUGGCAGACAAGGACAUCCGCAAAACGGCAAUAAGAACACCUUUCGGACUAUAUUCUACACUUUUUUAAGUUGCGGUAGCUGGGGUGCAGGGGUGGAUGCCAAAACGAAGCAGACCAACCUUCCGUUCAGGACCUGAGUCAUUAAAAGUUCGUGUUCCGCUUGCAGAAGUGAUUGAACGUGAUCAUACCUAACAGUAACUCAAGAGGGUCUUAGAACUCCCCUCUGCUUUUCCAAGAAUACUUCCAAUUUUCAAAAUCAGUGAAAUUUUCUAGGAAUCACACUUGACAAAAAACUGAAUUGGAGCAAACAUAUCAGCUCAAAACCGAAAAAGCAAAAAAGGGCUUGCUGGGGAUGUCUCCGCGCAAUUGGGAGACUUUGGGGACCAUCCCCGAAGGCUGUGCACUGUUGUGACCUAUGCUCUUCUAUGGAGCAAUUGUUUGCAUCGCAUGGGUUUGGUAGAAUCAAUAUCUUGUAGAGGAUGUUACACAGACGAUGAGAUGGCCACCACAUACUUUGUGAAUGUCCUGGUCUAGACUGAGACGAUCCAUGUUAGAGGAAUCCUGGCCGCUUCUG